AUGGCGGACAUCGCCGUCGACAAGGGCGACAGUAUCCUUGCCCCUCGAUGGAUAGGGGGGCAGUUCCGCCUCACCAUGGAGGCAGAGCACCUCAUGGCAGAGGUGCACCUCGAGGCGGAGCACGCGGACAUUGUCGCCCCUACCGAGCUCUACACCAACCAAGCCUUCGUUGUGGAAAACACACCAUCCUCGAGGCAGUGA
This 201-nucleotide ribosomal RNA is filed under the name Triticum aestivum (bread wheat). Its description in RNAcentral is "partial small subunit ribosomal RNA". The record is from RNAcentral. Lineage: Eukaryota; Viridiplantae; Streptophyta; Magnoliopsida; Poales; Poaceae.